This 200-nucleotide ribosomal RNA is filed under the name uncultured Simplicispira sp. Its description in RNAcentral is "partial 16S ribosomal RNA". It matches the Rfam family "Bacterial small subunit ribosomal RNA", at positions 334 to 525 of the family's 1533-position model. Lineage: Bacteria; Pseudomonadati; Pseudomonadota; Betaproteobacteria; Burkholderiales; Comamonadaceae. The record is from RNAcentral.
UACUCCUACGGGAGGCAGCAGUAAGGGAUAUUGCGCCAAUGGGGGAAACCCUGAUCCAGCCAUGCCGCGUGCAGGAUGAAGGCCUUCGGGUUGUAAACUGCUUUUGUACGGAACGAAAAGGUCUUUUCUAAUAAAGAAGGCUGAUGACGGUACCGUAAGAAUAAGCACCGGCUAACUACGUGCCAGCAGCCGCGGUAAUA